GUGCAGCGUUCCACAUGAAUAAAGAGAUACUGUGUACAGCUCAGCUAUGGUCGUCUGUCUCCCGUCAGUGAAGCUCAGCCUGGCAGAAGGAGGAUCAUGGCUCCAGGAUUCUAUCACUCCCUGCAAGCCUAGAAGUUUCCUUUUCAGUGUCAGAGAAAGAGAAGUUGGGGAUAGAGAAGGAGAGACACCGAAGCAGCACUCCACUGCUUGUGAAGCUUCUCGCUGGCAUGAUGUUCUCAUGUGGACUCUCUACAUAGUCUUCCAAUAGGGCUAUAUACCAGUUUACAUUCCCACCAGCAGUAGAAUAGGCCACUUCUCCACAAUCUUUCCAACAGAUGAUUUGCUAAAGAAGUUAUGGGAUAUAUAUUCCAUGGAAUACUACACUGCAAUCACAAAAGAUGAUCCUGUGUACUUUGGGACAAAACAGAUGGAACAGGAGAUGAUUAUGCUAAGCGACAUAAGUAAAGAGAUGAAAGACAACUACCAGAUGGUUUCACUCAUAUGUGGAAUCUAGAGAACUGAUACACAUAAACUUGAAAAAGAAACCAAACAGAAGCAAGCAGUUUCUGAGACUUGUGAGAACUCUGGUAUUUAU
Molecule: long non-coding RNA, 595 nt
Organism: Erinaceus europaeus (western European hedgehog)
Lineage: Eukaryota; Metazoa; Chordata; Mammalia; Eulipotyphla; Erinaceidae
Exons: 3
Source: RefSeq, a predicted model, not a curated record